CGACGUAAAGAACUUGCCUCACAGAUAGGGACAACAUUUGGAAACGAAUGCUAAUACCUGAUAUUAUGAUUUUAGGGCAUCCUAGGAUUAUGAAAGCUAUAUGCGCUGUGAGAGAGCUUUGCGUCCCAUUAGCUAGUUGGAGAGGUAACGGCUCACCAAGGCGAUGAUGGGUAGCCGGCCUGAGAGGGUGAUCGGCCACAAGGGGACUGAGAUACGGCCCUU
RNAcentral lists this ribosomal RNA (222 nucleotides) under uncultured bacterium. Its description in RNAcentral is "partial 16S ribosomal RNA". It matches the Rfam family "Bacterial small subunit ribosomal RNA", at positions 113 to 334 of the family's 1533-position model. The record is from RNAcentral.